Molecule: ribosomal RNA, 2179 nt
Filed under: human gut metagenome
Description: bacterial LSU rRNA
Rfam family: Bacterial large subunit ribosomal RNA
Source: RNAcentral
AGGGCGCAAGGGGGAUGCCUUGGCAUUGGAAGCCGAUGAAGGACGUAGCGAUCUACGAUAAGCCUCGGGGAGACGAAAGCAGUCAUCGAUCCGGGGAUUUCCGAAUGGGGAAACCCGCUGGAGCAAUACUCCAGCAACUCUUUGUGAAUCAAAUAGCAAAUUGUGGGGAACCGCCUGAACUGAAACAUCUAAGUAGGGCGAGGAAAAGAAAUCAACCGAGAUUCCGCUAGUAGUGGCGAGCGAACGCGGAAGAGGCCAAACCAAGGGUAGUAAUACCUUUGGGGUAUGGACAGCGCACGGUAUUGAGGAUCGAUAGUGGAAUGAAAUGGGAAGUUCAACCAUAGAGUGUGAGAGUCACGUACACGAAAUUGAGAAUCAGCCAGCUGUAUCCGGAGUACCGCCGGACACGUGAAACCCGGUGGGAAUACGGGGGGACCACCCUCCAAGCCUAAAUACUCUCCAAUGACCGAUAGUGUAUAGUACUGUGAAGGAAAGGUGAAAAGAACCCCUGGCGGGGAGUGAAAAAGAACCUGAAACCUUGUGCCUACAAGCACAUAGAGCACAUCAACGUGUGAUAUGGUACCUUUUGUAGAAUGGUCCGGCGAGUAAAUGUCACUAGCGAGGUUAAGGACUUAAGGUCUGCAGCCGAAGCGAAAGCGAGUCUUAACUGGGCGCUUUAGUUAGUGGUAUUUGACCCGAAACCGAGUGACCUAGCCAUGAGCAGGCUGAAGUGGAGGUAAAACUCCAUGGAGGGCCGAACCCACUCCCGUUGAAAUGGUAGGGGAUGACUUGUGGCUAGCGGAGAAAUUCCAAUCGAACUCGGAUAUAGCUGGUUCUCUCCGAAAUAGCUUUAGGGCUAGCCUCAAUUAACAUUACCGAAGGUAAAGCACUGACUGAGCUAGGGGGCGAAAGCUUACUGAACUCUAUCAAACUAAGAAUGUCGGAUAAUGAAUGAUUGGGAGUCACACUGCGUGAGAUAAGUUUCGCGGUGGAAAGGGAAACAGCCCAGACCUACAGCUAAGGUCCCAAAGUAUGGUUAAGUGGAAAAGGAUGUGGAAUUGCGUAGACAACCAGGAUGUUGGCUCAGAAGCAGCCACUCAUUUAAAGAGUGCGUAAUAGCUCACUGGUCGAGUGACUCUGCGCCGAAAAUUUAACGGGGCUAAACCAUACACCGAAGCUUAGGAAUAUACUUUUAGUAUGUUGGUAGGAGAGCGUCUUAUACGGGGUGAAGUUACAGCGGAAGCGGUAGUGGACUGUAUACGAGUGAGAAUGCCGGAAUGAGUAGCGAGAAUUAUGUGAGAAUCAUAAUGGCCGAAAGACUGAGGUUUUAGAAGGAAGGUUCGUCCGCUUCUAGUUAGCCGGGGGCUAAGGCGAGGCCGAGAGGCGUAGUCGAUGCACAUACGGUAGAGAUUCCGUAGCCACCUUGAAUUUAAACUGAGGGACACAUUGAAAGGGUAUAUCCCGGGCGUUGGUUGACCCGGGCGUAAGGGAGCUAACAUAUCAGCGAAGUAUACUUGGACAGUGGCGAGAAAAGCUCAGUGUAUAUAAUCAGGGUGCCCGUACUGCAAACCGACACAGGUAGUCAGGAAGAGAAUUCUAAGGCCAACGGGAGAAGGAUUGUUAAGGAACUCGGCAAAUUGACCCCGUAACUUCGGAAUAAGGGGUGCUCACGAGAGUGAGCCGCAGUGAAUAGGUCCAGGCAACUGUUUAUCAAAAACACAGCUCUCUGCUAAAUCGUAAGAUGAUGUAUAGGGGGUGACACCUGCCCGGUGCUGGAAGGUUAAGAGGAGGAGUGCAAGCUCCGAAUUGAAGCCCCAGUAAACGGCGGCCGUAACUAUAACGGUCCUAAGGUAGCGAAAUUCCUUGUCGGGUAAGUUCCGACCCGCACGAAUGGUGUAAUGAUCUGGACACUGUCUCAACAAUCCACCCGGCGAAAUUGUAGUACCGGUGAAGAUGCCGGUUACCCGCGGCAAGACGGAAAGACCCCAUGGAGCUUCACUGCAACUUGAUAUUGGGUUUCGGUAUUCUAUUUACAGGAUAGGCGGGAGACAUGGAAGCAAGCACGCCAGUGUUUGUGGAGUCAACCUUGGGAUACCGCUACUAGAGUAUUGGAAUUCUAACCUGCGGCCUUGAAUCAGGUCGGGGGACAUUGUCAGGUGGGCAGUUUGACUGGGGCGGU